UACGGUGGGUGCGAGCGUUAAUCGGAAUUACUGGGCGUAAAGCGUGCGUAGGCGGUUCGUUAAGUCAGAUGUGAAAGCCCUGGGCUCAACCUGGGAACUGCAUUUGAAACUGGCGAACUAGAGUUGAGUAGAGGGGAGUGGAAUUUCAGGUGUAGCGGUGAAAUGCGUAGAUAUCUGAAGGAACACCAGUGGCGAAGGCGACUCCCUGGACUCAAACUGACGCUGAGGUACGAAGGUGCGGGGAUCAAACAGG
RNAcentral lists this ribosomal RNA (253 nucleotides) under uncultured bacterium. Its description in RNAcentral is "partial 16S ribosomal RNA". It matches the Rfam family "Bacterial small subunit ribosomal RNA", at positions 524 to 776 of the family's 1533-position model. The record is from RNAcentral.